UACGUAGGGUGCAAGCGUUGUCCGGAAUUAUUGGGCGUAAAGAGCUCGUAGGCGGCCGCGCAAGUCGAUUGUGAAAACUCGGGGCUCAACCCCGAGCCUGCGUUCGAUACUGCACGGCUAGAGUCUGGUAGGGGGAUCUGGAAUUCCUGGUGUAGCGGUGGAAUGCGCAGAUAUCAGGAGGAACACCAAUAGCGAAGGCAGCUCGCUGGGACGUUACUGACACUGAGGCGCGAAAGCGUGGGGAGCGAACAGG
RNAcentral lists this ribosomal RNA (253 nucleotides) under uncultured bacterium. Its description in RNAcentral is "partial 16S ribosomal RNA". It matches the Rfam family "Bacterial small subunit ribosomal RNA", at positions 524 to 776 of the family's 1533-position model. The record is from RNAcentral.